ACCUUUUUCUCUAAACAACACGCGCGCUUUUCUCUAUUCAUUCUCCCUGUUUUCACUUUCCCAAUCCCAUCCUCAAUUCUUAAGUUUCACUCUCACUUCUCAAUUUUCCUUGUGGAGAAAUCUUCCAAUUUCCCAUAGAAAUGCUUCAGCCAUAGUAACUAACUCUCUUCCAUGUGCUAGUGCUUCAGAUCCACCGUUCUCUUUCGUGAACCGCCGUCAUUCUGCAUAUUCUCUGGGAGACCGGAACUCACCUCGCCGUCACAAAGAUCCAAAGACUCGAUGAACUGUUUGUCGACUGGAGGAAUUCACUAUUUUCGCUGCCGUCACACACAAACUCAUAGAUAAAUCACGAAGGCCCAACUGUGCUAAUUAUUCAGGAUAAAGAUGCAAGGGGCAUGCUGAUAUAACCUUCAUUUUAUUGUUUAACAUUUUUUAGUGACAGUACUUUUGAAGAAAUGCCAAGACAUACAAGUUCGUUGUGGGUCAUCUGGUAAUAGUAUCAAUGCUAAUGUAACCAAUACUUCUUUAAGAACAAUUAACCUUCAAGGACAUUAAUGGACUAGUUGAGCAGAAUGUCCAACUCAGAAGCCUUGCAAUGUCUCUGGACAGUCAGGAGGUGGAAUUCAAGGAAAAGCUUGAAAUAGAACUCAAAAAACAUACUGAAGAAACUGCUUCUGAAGUAGCGGCUGUUCUACAGACAGAAGAGCAAUGACAAAUGAUUGAAUCGUGUCAUACAUCUGUAAGCUAGUAUAAUAUCUGUAGUUCUUCUUUCCAUUUUCACAUCUUAUUUUUGUUUAUCCUUUUUUGAAAGGGUGUUAUUCCUGUUUAUUAAAUAAAAAUGUCACUUUAAUGAUUGACUAGCUAGUUAGAUUUGAAAGAUUAAAGAGAUGUCAACUCCAUAUUCCACCGAUAAAUUCGAUGAUUAUUUUAAACAAAGUGAUUUAGUACAUGUAAACAAGACCUUAUUUAGCACCCCAAACAAGGCCUUAGUACAAUACAUAGAAAUUAACAACAGAGAAACACAAUGAAAAACAUUGAAAAUGACACAGAAAUAUGAUCAACCAAGACAUAAGUUAGUUCCCUUCUUUUCAGCUGGAGGCCUCUGAUGGGAGUGGCACCCAAACAACAUGCUUUACAGGGAAGAAAUGGCACAGUGGACCGUCCCCGGGCUUCAUUCCAAGAUAUUUGAAUAUGAUAUGAUUAGGAGGCAUGUCAGAUGUGUCUAGGUGGCAAAUGGCCAAAGCAUCCAUAAUGUCUCCAUAUUGACCCUUUAGAAGAACUUUGAAGAGCUUGCUCCCUAUGUCUAGAUAAUGGCAAUAGUAUAGAGCAUAAGGAUAAGGUCUUGGGUGACAAGCUACCCAUUUAGGAGCAUAGAUAUCCUUUGAGACUUCCAAAAUAGUGUAGUUCUGCAAAGCUGCACCCGAUGUUGUGGGCCACUGAGUUGUUAGAACAUUAUAUUUGGUGUCAGCACCGAUGACACUAUGGACAAAUUCAACCAUAGACUCUAGAGAAGUAGGACAAGCCUUGGUCUCUCCUUUUUGCAGUGGAGAUUCACAUUGAUCAAUUAUGUCAUUCAGGUCUUCACCUUGGGGGGAAUCCUUUGUGAGCUUGAAUAGUUGAAGAAGGCUUGGUACUUGUGACUUGGAGAAAGGAAUGGAGUCUGCCACUUUUUUUGGCAAGAAAUUAGCAUAUUCUCUGAUAGGAAAUGAUAGGGUCAUUACAUUCCCUACAUAUAUAUCUUCUAGAGCGAAAAAAGCUAACUUGAAUGCUUCUGUAUGGUCAACUUUAAAAGAUAGUUUAUCAUUUGGUUCUGCAUGUGAGUUUUUCAACCAACCAUCAAGGUAAGCUUGAGUCGAGAUGUGGGUAGGUUUUGUUUUUUCAACCAGGCUAUCUUUUAGCCAACCAUCAAGGUAAGCCUGCUUGAUAGUUUUUUCCUUUAGGUCUUUGUUAUCUUUCAACCAACCAUCAAGGUAAACUUGGUUGGAGUUAGGGGUGGAUAUUGCUUUUUGGCCAUCUUUCAACCAUCCAUCAAGGUAAGCUUGGUUGGUGUUAGGGGUGGAUUUUGCUUGCCUAUCUUUUAACCAACCAUCAAGAUAAACUUGGUUGGAAUUAGGUUUUUGGCCAUCUUUCAACCAUCCAUCAAGAUAAGCUGGAUUGGAGUUGGGGAAUGACUUUGUUUGACCAUCUUUCAACCAACCAUCAAGGUAAGCUUGAUUGGAGUUUUGGGUAGUCUUUUCCUUUUGAUCCUUGGUAUCUUUCAACCAUCCAUCAAGGUAAGCUGAAUUAGAAUUACCGGUAGAUUUUUUAUUGCGGCCUAGGGUGUUUUUCAACCAUCCAUCAAGAUAACCUUCUUUAGAGUUUGAGUUGAUUUUUUCGUUCUUCAGUGGUGUGUCUUUGAGCCAGCCAUCAAGGUAAGGCUGAUCAGUUUCUUGCUGAAUCUUCAUAUCCAUAGCAAAGCUUCCGUGGCCAUUCUAAAAUGCAAUUAAAUAAGAAGUAUUAACAAAUGACAAUUUAACUACAUGUUUUGGAUGAUCUAUAUGAUCACAUAUAGAAACAUAAGUGUUUAUUUUGAGAGACACAUUUUGCUGCAUACUAGUGAAGAUAUAAAAUUCAUUUUGUAUAAUAGCAGACGGGUACCAAUCUGAAACAACAAAAUAGGGAACAACAGGAGACCUAUUCUCUGAAACAAAAGAUAUAGGGAAUAAUGUAGGCCCGUUUGGUUUGUGAAAUCGUUUACUAUUUUAAAAUGUUAAAAUUUGUGUUAAUUUUAUUUGUCAACGGCAAAAGAUGAUAGACUAUUGCAAUCAACAAAUUUUAAAAACAAUGAGAAUGUCAAAAUCUUAUUUUUCAUAUUUUUUGUCAUCAUUAUUCACUAGCAUUUCAUCUUCUUUUAAUCAUAAAAACAAAAACAGCCCAAACAAAAACAGGAAGGAAAAGCCUAGGCCCAAUCGUUAGCUAAGGAGCCCAAAGCCCAAACAGGCAUGAAUACACUAAACAGACCCCCCAAAUAACCAGAAAUCUCCUGCCAAGACCAGAAAAAACAGCAUUAACAGCAGAAAGUUAAAAACCAGAAGACCAUAAAAUAGCAGAACUGAUGCAGGAAAAAAAAAACACACGCAGAGCAGCAUGACACCCCCAGGUCUUCAAUCACCGCCGCAUACAAAUCACCAGUUCCGUCAACCACUCAUAUAAAAGACAAUGAUACACUUUCUCAUUACUCAAAAGCAGCAUACAUGCAUGUAAACUCAAAAUGUCAACAGCAGGACAAAAUAAUGAAACUUAAUGAUAGCUUAUGUUAAUUAAAUAAUCAAAACCGCAAAUGUUAGCCAUUUCAAAAUAAAAAAGUGUGAAGAUACAAGCAUUCAAGUAAAUUCACGAUGAUUAAGAGUAGCUAGCACAAAGGAUGAAUAUUAUUAAUGAUGUAGUAUUAUGAUAAAUAAAUGAUGAAAAGGUGCGCAAAUGUAAAGAUACAAGAGAUGCAUGCAAUGCAAGUAAACUUACGAUGAUGAAGAGCAAGACAAAAGGAAGGAGAGACAAAACAACUCUGCGCACCAUAUCUUAAUUACUUCUAUAUGUUUAAUUGAUUACUGUGAAAGAUGAAUUGAAAUACAAGUGAAGUGUGCUUUUUAUAAGUGAAUGAGAAGAAAAAUGACAAAAAAUGAUCACAUGCAUUGAGUUUAUGUGAAUAUUUUUCUUCAUGACUUAUUUUAUUAGCUUUCUUUUAACCAACCAAUAGGAGUUAAUGCAUGCAUGGGAAUUAAACAAGUCUUAAAUUACUCUUUUUCAGAUAAUGUGAAUUCUAAACCAUUUUGCUAUCUUGAUAUUGAUGUUAGUCGAUACUCAUUGGUGAGCUCUUAAUCUUAUCAAAGAAAGCCAAUGUGGGGAAGUAGGGAACUUCCCAUGUUUGUGCAUAGGAGGCCAACUAACUCAGAAUUCACAACAUAGCCAAAUAGUUUUGGAUAACUAUGGUUUGCAUGCUUGACAAGUGUGGAUACUAGUCUCAUUAGAAAAAUUAAGAUAAGAUGCCGUUUAGGAUAAUUACUAGGGUUUUGCAUGCUUGACAAGUGUGGAUACGUUUAUAAAAAAUUGUUAUAGUGCGUAGUAUUAUUAUUUGAAUUUUACCAUCGGUUUAAUCUGGUUCAGAGGUCAGUUCUGACAUCAAGUGAUUCCAGCCUCCUCCCAAUCCCAGUUGUGAGGAUCGAAUCGCGGUCCUUCCUAUCAAGUUCAACGUCAAUCACCGCUAGAAAAAUUAUUACAUUAAAUAUAGUAUUAAACACAAUGUUUUGAAAUAAUGUUGUUUAAAAGUGAUACUAUUAUUCUAUAGGUCUUGCUAACGAGUGGUCAAUGACAUUUUUUAAGCAUCUUACAUAAUAAACUUUUAUGAAAAUGUGUGAAGUUAAUAAUGUACAUUAAAAAUUGAAAUGUUUAAUUUUUUAAAUAAAUAAUUUCCUUAAAUGAAAUGCUUAAAGAGCGUCUCGGAAAAACUCGUUAGCAUUUUUGAUAUUUUUUAGGAGUAAUAUUCAACUCUCAUAGAAUAAAUAUAUCAAUCAUUGAGUGAACUUAUUUUUUAACCCACUUGGGUUGGUCUGAGGUUAUUAACUUGAGACCUGAGAGUGUGCUCCUUCUUAAGGUCUCAGGUUUAAUGCUCUCUGAUGCUAAUUUGGGUGGGCUAAUUUAAUUUCUUAAAAAAAAUUAAACUUAUUUUUUCUUCAUUUCAUAUAUUUAUAUGCCCGUUCAAUUGCUAAUUUUACUUAAUACUACAAAUUCAACAAGUUAUCCGCUACUUUUUUGUCAAACAAAGUCAAAAUUGAUUAUUAUAAAUUUAAGGCUUACUUGCAUAUUUACUCCCUUACGUUUAUUUUACAUUUCAAUUUGGUUCAUUACAUUUAAAAAAUUUUAACUUAGUCCGUUUAGUAAAAAAAUUUGUUUAAAUUGUCCACAUGACGAAUAGAUUUGCAUACACAGCCAAGUUGGGAGGAUAUUAUACGUGAAAGUUUAAUAUGAAAUUAUCUCAAAAUUUUACAUAAAAUUAGAUAAAAUUAACUCAAAAUUAAAAAAAAAAAAACUAAUAUUAUUGACAUUGUAAGAGAUGAACUUUGAAACGUUACAAAUUAAAAAGGUAAAGUCGUACCUAAUAACUUUACUUAAAAUCAGAAGAAAAAAAAUUAACGACACAAGUAAGUCAUAUAUGUCGGUGACAACUUACCCCUGUUUGACGAAAAAUUUGAAAACUAUACAUGGUAAUAAACUUGAAAAAGUAUACUUUUUUGUGCACAGUGUAUGACACAACACUAUGUUUUAUGUUAGUAAUGCUUAGUGAAGAAAAAUUUACAUAAAAAUAAUUUAUAAAAAGAAGAAAUUUAACCAAUAAAAAUUUGACUAAAUAUACAUAUAUAGAGGAAAGAGUGAUUAUAAUUUGUAAGUGUUAAAUAUUGCCAAAUAUAAUUAUUCUCUUGUAAAUUAUUUUCUUAUUAAAUAGUUGCAUUUUUUAUUU
This is a long non-coding RNA of Trifolium pratense (red clover), 5494 nucleotides long. RefSeq lists it as uncharacterized. Lineage: Eukaryota; Viridiplantae; Streptophyta; Magnoliopsida; Fabales; Fabaceae. The record is from RefSeq and is a predicted model, not a curated record. The transcript is spliced from 5 exons.